GUAUUGGCAAAGCAUGAAUAUUUCUUGCUUUCUGGUAGCAAGAUUUGGCAUUAGUGUUUGAUGCUGUGGCCGUGGGUACAUGUUACAAUUCAGGCAUUCAAGUGUUUUCAGAGACUACCAAGCUGACCACAGUGAUGGAAGCAUAUAAAGACUACAUUAUUCUGUGAUGCUGCCAGAGAGCUGAAAAAAUUAGAAGUGGUGAGGAAUAUGUGCUGCAAGCUGUAUUUUCCUCAUUCACGUGCAAAAGAGGUGAUGAAGAUUAGGGACUUAUCACACUGCUACCAUCCUCCGAUGGAAGCAGAAUUAUGAAAUAUGCCCCCUGCUGCUGGUCCUGGAAGGGCCCGGGAACAUCAGCCAGGGAACAAUAAAUAGCUCAGUUUGGUUUGCGGGGAGGACGAGGAAGGUAGAGCGAAGAGAAAGGGAGAAGGAACUCAGCGUUUCGGCAGCGGGCAUCUCUUUGGGCAGCGUUCUGUAAGCGCUUUAUCUUAAUAUAAACCCGUAUACAGCCUUCCUCGGCGCUACUGCUAAUCCCACGACACGCGCAGCCCGGGCUGUCCCUCUCCAGGUUGUCCCACUA
Molecule: long non-coding RNA, 577 nt
Filed under: Coturnix japonica (Japanese quail)
Lineage: Eukaryota; Metazoa; Chordata; Aves; Galliformes; Phasianidae
Description: lncRNA (ENSCJPG00005011823.1)
Source: RNAcentral